RNAcentral lists this ribosomal RNA (484 nucleotides) under uncultured bacterium. Its description in RNAcentral is "partial 16S ribosomal RNA". It matches the Rfam family "Bacterial small subunit ribosomal RNA", at positions 28 to 523 of the family's 1533-position model. The record is from RNAcentral.
GACGAACGCUGGCGGCGUGCUUAACACAUGCAAGUCGAACGAGGUCCAUGAAGUAGCAAUACUUCGGAAGACCUAGUGGCGAACGGGUGCGUAACACGUGAGGAACUUGUCCCGGUCUCUGGGAUAACAGUUGGAAACGACUGCUAAUACCGGAUGACGUCGGAGCGUCGCAUGGCGCGCUGACGAAAGGGUUACCGGAUCGGGAGAGCCUCGCGGCCUAUCAGCUUGUUGGCGGGGUAAUGGCCACCAAGGCAUCGACGGGUAGCUGGUCUGAGAGGAUGAUCAGCCACACUGGGACUGAGACACGGCCCAGACUCCUACGGGAGGCAGCAGUGGGGAAUCUUGCGCAAUGGGCGAAAGCCUGACGCAGCAACGCCGCGUGCGGGAAGAAGGCUCUCGGGUUGUAAACCGCUUUCAGCAGGAACGAAAAUGACGGUACUUGCAGAAGAAGGUGCGGCCAACUACGUGCCAGCCGCCGCCGUAA